AGGAAUGACAAUAACACCUGCCUGACAGGAUUGUCAAGAGGAUCAAAUGAGGUAGUGUGAAAGUGCAAAAAAAAAAAAAAAGAAGAAGGCAGUUGCCCUAAUUAUUAGUGCUACGUAUCUAAUUAUUGUCUUAAUUACAAUGGAGCACGGGCUUGGGUUCGAGGACGCAGAAGGCUUGGCCCUGCGCACAAAGAUCUUGUGCACAGAAGCAAAUGACUGCGGCCGUCAGCGCUCACAAACAGCCCCAGGAGCUCCAAGCCUCUUGGGAGAAGUCAGUGCUUUCCAAGCGGCGCUGCAUCACGGUGGCGGGCUGAGCGCCCCUCCAUCAGUCAGAUCCCUGCGACCGGAGGAAAGCGGGAGAAGAGGGCGCUGGCAGUGUCCUUCGGCCGGCGGGGAAGUGGCUGGACCCCCGCACGGCCGGCGGCACUGGCUCCCCAGCUGACGCCCCAGCAAACCGCGGGGUUGGGGGGAGGAACUCGGCCGCAUCCGCACGUGGAGGUCAGCCGAGUGGGACUUCAGAACGAGCAGAUUCGAAUCUGUCGGCUAGGAAUCUCUGUGACUGGGCUCCCGCCUUCUCUCCAUGACUUUUGAUUUUCCGAGCACCUCCCAGCUGCCUGAACUUGUUUUCCCACCUGUAAUAAAUAGUUGUUAAAAUUACAUGAAAAUAUAGUAAAGAACUUGCUAAUUAUUCAAUAAAUAGCAGCUGUUAUUGCCACCGUCAUAGUCAGCAGCACUGCCGCAUCAUCUGUGGAUGGCCGAGUCAGCCCUGCCCCAUCCCGCGCCAGCCCACACCACCCAGCCGAGUCCCAGGCUCUCUAGCUCCACCGUCUGGGAGGGGACUGCCGUGAGCAUUUCUGCGUGAGAAACCAGGAGCCGGGGUGCCAGGGGUCAGAACCGGCGGCAGCUUUCAUGUCAUAGUUCCCACAUCCUUCUUCCCCUUGCUCCUCAUGCUCCAUGCUGAUCCUUCAAAGAACUGAAUUUCUGCGGUUUCUGGGCCGAGCACUCUCGUCCCAACGAGGACUCCAGGCACUGGCCGGUCCCAACCCAGGCAACCUGCGUGGCUCUGCUUCCGGCAUCUCAGUGGUUCUCGAGAGGGAGAUGCUAUCCUCCUACGGCAAUUGGAACACGGCGGGGGCAUUUUCAUCACAGCGAAGGGGUGCCCUACUGGUACUGCGUGGGAUUGGCCAGUGAUGGAAUAGGCCUGCACGACAAAGAAUUGUCUUGCAUAACUUUCAAAUGUCCCGCAGGACGUUCAUGAGCUAGAAGAAUCCAGGCAGCACCUCCAACACCCUACCUGGAGUUCUCCUUAGAAAGAUCAUCCAGAUUACUAAGUAUCCUUUAUAUUUUAUUUAUUUAUUUAUUGAGAUAUACUUGACAUACAACACUAUUUUAGUUUCAGG
This 1400-nucleotide long non-coding RNA is filed under the name Equus caballus (horse). RNAcentral's name for it is "lncRNA (ENSECAG00000051197.1)". The record is from RNAcentral. Lineage: Eukaryota; Metazoa; Chordata; Mammalia; Perissodactyla; Equidae.